Molecule: ribosomal RNA, 505 nt
Filed under: uncultured bacterium
Lineage: Bacteria
Description: bacterial SSU rRNA
Rfam family: Bacterial small subunit ribosomal RNA
Source: RNAcentral
AGAGUUUGAUCAUGGCUCAGAUUGAACGCUGGCGGCAUGCUUUACACAUGCAAGUCGAGCGGCAGCGCGGGGGCAACCCUGGCGGCGAGCGGCGAACGGGUGAGUAAUGCAUCGGAACGUGUCCCGUAGUGGGGGAUAACCCGGCGAAAGCCGGGCUAAUACCGCAUAUGCUCUACGGAGGAAAGGGGGGGAUCCGCAAGGACCUCUCGCUAUGGGAGCGGCCGAUGUCCGAUUAGCUUGUUGGUGGGGUAAUGGCUUACCAAGGCGACGAUCGGUAGCUGGUCUGAGAGGAUGAUCAGCCACACUGGGACUGAGACACGGCCCAGACUCCUACGGGAGGCAGCAGUGGGGAAUUUUGGACAAUGGGGCAACCCUGAUCCAGCCAUGCCGCGUGCGGGAAGAAGGCCUUCGGGUUGUAAACCGCUUUUAGUCGGGAAGAAAAGGCCUGGGCGAAUACCCUGGGUUUUUGACGGUACCGGCGGAAUAAGCACCGGCUAACUACGUG